AUGACAUUGCCAAACACACUCAUGUCAGCAGAUCAGAUAUUUGAGUUUGUUAGAGCUGCGGAUUGUUAUCCAAAUGUCUCAAUUGCUUAUCGUAUCCUCUUGACUGUACCGGUCACUGUUGCAUCAGCUGAAAGGAGUUUCUCAAAAUUGAAGUUACUGAAAAAUUAUUUGAGGUCAACAAUGUCCCAAGAUAGACUGAAUGGUUUGGCCAUGUGCUGCAUCGAGAAGAAUAUGUUGGACAAUAUUGAUCUUGACAUUGUCAUUGAUGAUUUUGCGUCAAAAAAUGCACGGAAGUCUCGCUUCUCAUGA
This 309-nucleotide ribosomal RNA is filed under the name Triticum aestivum (bread wheat). RNAcentral describes it as "partial small subunit ribosomal RNA". The record is from RNAcentral. Lineage: Eukaryota; Viridiplantae; Streptophyta; Magnoliopsida; Poales; Poaceae.